UACGUAGGUGGCAAGCGUUAUCCGGAUUUACUGGGUGUAAAGGGCGUGUAGGCGGGAGAGCAAGUCAGACGUGAAAUUCCAGGGCUCAACCCUGGAACUGCGUUUGAAACUGUUCUUCUUGAGUGGUGGAGAGGCAGGCGGAAUUCCGUGUGUAGCGGUGAAAUGCGUAGAUAUACGGAGGAACACCAGUGGCGAAGGCGGCCUGCUGGACAUUAACUGACGCUGAGGCGCGAAAGCGUGGGGAGCAAACAGG
Molecule: ribosomal RNA, 253 nt
Filed under: uncultured bacterium
Lineage: Bacteria
Description: partial 16S ribosomal RNA
Rfam family: Bacterial small subunit ribosomal RNA
Source: RNAcentral